CCCUUAGAUGUCCUGGGCCGCACGCGCGCUACACUGAUGCAUUCAACGAGUAUUUCCUUGGCCGAGAGGCCUGGGCAAUCUUUUAAACCUGCAUCGUGAUAGGGAUAGAUUAUUGCAAUUAUUAAUCUUGAACGAGGAAUUCCUAGUAAGCGCGAGUCAUCAGCUCGUGCUGAUUACGUCCCUGCCCUUUGUACACACCGCCCGUCGCUCCUACCGAUUGAGUGCUCAGGUGAAUAAUUCGGACUGCAGCAAUGUUUGGAUCCCGAACGUUGCAGCGGAAAGUUUAGUGAACCUUAUCACUUAGAGGAAGGAGAAGUCGUAACA
This 324-nucleotide ribosomal RNA is filed under the name uncultured eukaryote. RNAcentral's name for it is "partial 18S ribosomal RNA". It matches the Rfam family "Eukaryotic small subunit ribosomal RNA", at positions 1470 to 1796 of the family's 1831-position model. The record is from RNAcentral.